CGGGGCGUAGCUCAGCUGGCUAGAGCGCUUGGUUCGGGACCAAGAGGCCAGAGGUUCGAAUCCUCCCGCCCCGA
This 74-nucleotide transfer RNA is filed under the name Planctomycetota bacterium. RNAcentral's name for it is "Planctomycetes bacterium (groundwater metagenome) tRNA-Pro". It matches the Rfam family "tRNA". From Rfam's summary of the family: Transfer RNA (tRNA) molecules are approximately 80 nucleotides in length. Their secondary structure includes four short double-helical elements and three loops (D, anti-codon, and T loops). Further hydrogen bonds mediate the characteristic L-shaped molecular structure. tRNAs have two regions of fundamental functional importance: the anti-codon, which is responsible for specific mRNA codon recognition, and the 3' end, to which the tRNAs corresponding amino acid is attached (by aminoacyl-tRNA synthetases). tRNAs cope with the degeneracy of the genetic code in two manners: having more than one tRNA (with a specific anti-codon) for a particular amino acid; and 'wobble' base-pairing, i.e. permitting non-standard base-pairing at the 3rd anti-codon position. Lineage: Bacteria; Pseudomonadati; Planctomycetota. The record is from RNAcentral.